UACAGAGGGGGCAAGCGUUAUUCGGAAUUAUUGGGCGUAAAGGGCGCGUAGGCGGCCUGGCAAGUGGAAGGUGAAAUCCCUCGGCUUAACCGAGGAACUGCCUCCCAAACUGCUUGGCUUGAGACCAGGAGAGGUGAGUGGAAUUCCCAGUGUAGCGGUGAAAUGCGUAGAUAUUGGGAGGAACACCAGUGGCGAAGGCGGCUCACUGGACCGGUACUGACGCUGAUGCGCGAAAGCGUGGGGAGCAAACGGG
RNAcentral lists this ribosomal RNA (253 nucleotides) under uncultured bacterium. RNAcentral's name for it is "partial 16S ribosomal RNA". It matches the Rfam family "Bacterial small subunit ribosomal RNA", at positions 524 to 776 of the family's 1533-position model. The record is from RNAcentral.